Molecule: microRNA precursor, 67 nt
Filed under: Homo sapiens (human)
Lineage: Eukaryota; Metazoa; Chordata; Mammalia; Primates; Hominidae
Description: Hsa-Mir-2355_pre stem-loop
Rfam family: mir-2355 microRNA precursor family
Source: RNAcentral
AUCCCCAGAUACAAUGGACAAUAUGCUAUUAUAAUCGUAUGGCAUUGUCCUUGCUGUUUGGAGAUAA